AAAAAAAAAAAAGAAAACCCUCUGAAGGAGGGAUGAGGAAGGGUUCCCGGAGUUCCCUUGAACCUCCGGCCAAAGGUUUGCACGCGCCCAUGCACCACCGUCAACGGCGCUAUAUACGGCGGUCAGAAGCUGGAAAGCUUCCUGUUUCACCACAAAUCAAAACGGUACGUCCCUUUUGUUCUAUUUUUAUGCUUUUAAUAUGUAUUUAGAGAGAAAAAAAAGAAAUAUAGUAAUCACCUAUGUAUUCUCCAGUCGACUGUUGAUUUCUUUUAGUGUAAAAUGCGUUCUUGUUUUUUAUUGAAUCUCCUUAAAAAAAAUUCUCCUUACAUCGUUUUAAUUCGGGCUUUUUAUAGCCACUAUACAUAGUAUUUUACAUAUUUAAUGUUAUUUCCUGCCAUAUUUGUGUUGCCUCUGUCGUUCUUCUUUCCCCUUUUGCAAGUACCAACGAGGAGAUUUAGCAGUGAACGAACGCUGACAACGGUACACCGGCGUUGAUUCGGGCGUCGACCACGGCAUGAUUCGAAGCCUGGAAUCAUGGCCUGGAACCACGGCACUGAUAGUGGGUAACUGGAACGACGCGAGAUGAACAGACGCGUUGAUUGAAAUGUUUGCGGCGCUUAGGGUUUCUGAAACCCUAGGCCUCUCUGUCUUCCAUUCGUAAAUUGGGCCACUUGGGCCCUGUGUAUUUUGGGUAGCAUACAGGCUUGGGUGUAAUUGGGCCCUGGUUAGUUUUAGGUAUCUAGGCUAAGGGUUUUAGGCCUUUUGGGUGCAAAUGUAAACGGGUAAUGGGCUGUAAAUGUAAAUGAGUUUUGGGCUUUGUACAUGGACUGUAUAAACUUUAUUAUUUUUUUAAUUUAUGUUUUUGUUUUUAUUUAUUCAUUUAUGGGCUGGGCAAAUUUAGUUAUUACAAUAUGAUUUACAAUAUAAUAUAUCAACUAUUAUAUUUUAUUUUUGAGAUAUUUAAUUUAAUGGUUUAAAUUUUUGGUAUAAAAGAUUUUUGGUUGCAGUGAUUUUAAUUUUUAUUAUAUAUAAAAUCAAUUAAAAUAUUUUUGAUUUUUUAUUGUGAUAUUAAGAUAAUUUUAUUUUGGAUUAUUUUGGGAAACAUAGCAUGAUAAAAAAUUGCAGUCCUAAACUUUUGACUAUUAUGAAAACCUUAAAUUUGAAUUUUAGUAUCCUUAUAUAUUUUUUAGAAGGCAUAAUGACUAUUUUUGUCCUCCAACUUUAAAGAAAAUCAUUUUAACCUUUCAUUUAAUUUUUCGUCACUUUUAUCUUUUGAAUUUAUUUUAUUUUUGUCAAAUUAAGCCCAAAAUAGACAAAAAAGUUAACAACUUUUAACUUUGCUAAUGUGGAUGUCGCCAGCAAUUAAUUAAAUUUUUAAAGUUUCAAAAAAAUAAAAUAAUUUCAAAAAUUAAAAAAUUAUCAAAAUUGUUUUUAAAAUUUUGUAAAAAAAAUUAUAUUUUUAAUUAUUUUAACCUUUUCCAAGAUUUAUUUUCUUCAAAAUAUUAAAUAAAAAUAUUGUUUAAAAAAAUUAUUUUUUUUUAUUUUUUUCCUUCUUUCUUUUUCUUUCUUGGUAUCAUUAUUUAUUUUUUUUUCUUUUUUUUCUUUCUCCUUUUCCCAUCUUUCUCUAUUCUUUCUUUUUUUCUUCUCCUCUUCUCCUCACCCUAGACACUACCCGUCCAAGUCGCUACCGACGCCAUUUGGCUUCCAUCAAUCAAAAGCCCUAAAGUGACACUCCUUGUCCUUUAUUCUUGUUUUUCAAUUUAGAUUUCAUCAAACCCAAAAAAAAACCUUCGAAAAAUCCAACAAAAAAAUUGAAUAAAAAACUCAAUCCAUCAUCGUUUAUGGUUAGAUCGAUACUCUCGCAUUUCUUUUCUCUCGAGACUACCUGUCGUCGUCUUUAAUUGCUUUCUAUAAUUCAAUUAUAAACAUAAUAUUAAUUCACAUCCAAAUCACAUUAAAACAUAUAAUCAACAUAUUUUGCAUUUCAUUCAUUUUAGUCAUUAUAAUUGAAAUACUCAUAUUUUUCAAUAUUUAAUAUCAGAUCAAAAUCCAAUUUCACAUUCUUUCAUAAGAGACCCUAUACUUUUUGUCUAUAAUAUAAUUUCAUGACAACUUUCAAUUUAUUCAAUUUAGUCUCUAAUGUAAAAAAAUCUAACAAGUUUAACUUAAUUUCUAACUUAAUCUUUUUCAUAAUCCAAGCUUACUAACUAACAAUCUUUUCAAAUUCAAGCAUAAUUUCAUCAAUUUCACUAUAAUGGCUACUUGCUAAACAUCUAAUAAUUAAAGAAAUUAACAUAUGGGUUAGCGAAAUCAAUCCCUCGUGAUUCAAUUUCCAUAAAAAUUUAAAGAUCUAGCUUGAUUACCUUAAUUAAUUACUAGUCGAAAGUUGCUUAUGAAACUUGAGGUUUUUCUUUCCUUUAGAUGGUUUGGAUAGUUGAAAGGAAAAGAUGAUGGAUGAUUUAAAUCAUUUUUCCAUUCAUACUUAUAUAUAUACUUACACAUAUAUUAAAGUUUAAUUAAGCUUAAUUAUUUAUGAUUAGUCAUUAACUUAAGACAUGCAUAAUUGUAUGAAUUGUAAUUAAUAUAAUUAAGUGACUAUCAUCAUCACUUUCCACCAUCUCUUGGGAAAAAUGGUUUAAUAACCAUUUAGGUCAUUUGGAUAAUUUCUAACUAGGUUCUUAAGCAUUUUCCAAUUUCAAACUCAAUAGCGAUAGGACUUUUACAAUUUAGUCCCUAAAUUUUAAUUAAUGAUUUUCUUAGUUGAAUUACUUAACCAAUCUUUAAUAUAUUUCCUUAUAAACUUUGUACAUCUUCCUAUUUUAUCCUUAUGAUUUCGGUUUACAAAAAUAGAAUUCUAAAACCACAUUUUUCAACAUCGGCAAAAGUUGGGUCACUACAAACUUACAACGUAAUUGUGACAUUUUUAUUCAAUUUGGACAAUGGGGCAUGACCUACCCUUGCAUGCCAAAAAGAUUAAGCACAAUGAACACUUAAAAAAGAAUAAGCAAAAGAUGAAGUAGAAGGUUGUGCUGACGCGAAACAAGCUCGACGUGAUGAAAGACCAUACAAACCUUUUUGUUCCCUACUAAUUCCCUUCAUGUUACCACUGAAAGGUCCUAUAAUAAAAAAGGUUGGGGUGAAAAGAAACAAAAUGAUUGAGAUCAUGGGUUAGCUAUGAAAUGGAUAGAAAAUUGCAAUUGAAGUUUAGGACAUAAAGAACUUUGGUAUGAUUAUUAUAAGGAGCAAAAGUAAAGGUACUAAUAUAUGCAAUAGGAGUAGACUUUCUAUCUGGCAAUUGAACAAAUGAGGAGUUAGAAGCACAAGUAACAGAGAAUUCAAGCAUUGAAUAUCAGAAAUCAUGUGGUUAGUGGCUCUUAUAUCUAAGAUCCACUCAAGUGAAUAUGGUGCAAAGCUAAACACUAUACUUGCCAUAUGUGCGGCUACUUCAAUAGUUGGCUCAUUUCUUAACAACCUCAAAAUCUUCUAGUAUUAUUCUUAUGUAAAAACUAGAGCCUGAUGGUGUGGGUCGAUUGUAAAACUAGAGGAAGUUUUAGAAGUUGAUAAAUUAUUUACUGAUAGAUUAUUCUAUGUCUUUUGUUUUGUAAACUUGAAGUCAAGUGGAUACCCAAUUAAUGUCACACCCUAAAAUUGGGCUUAAAAGUUUUGGGGAUAAAUUAGGAAUUUUGACUCGGAAUGGGUUCAAAUAACCCAAAUUUGCUUUCGUCUAUGGCUUUUUGAAAAUUGAAACAGUUUUUGAAAAAAAUGUUCAAAAGAUUUUGAAUUUGGAAAUAAGGGUUGAUUUGUAAAAAGAUCUAAAUUAUGAGUUUUUAAAAGGUAGUUAGACCAAAUUUUAAUUUCCACCCUAUUUUCAUACUUUAUAUUCACAAAACCCACGUUAAUCUUCUCCAUCUUUUUGUUUUACCGUCCUCUGCAUCUUCCAAGCUCUUCUCAUUCAAUUUUGAUUCCCAAACUUAAUUUCUUAGAUUUCUAUCAUUCCCCAAGUCAAAAGUCUUCAUAGUAUUUCAAGAAAAACAUCCAAAACACCAUAGAUUUUGUCAUCCCCCAAGCUUGUGGGUUUUCCAAGUUGUCAACUAAAAGCUCGUUUUUCUUCCAUCAAAGAUAAGGAAUCAUUUUUCUAUUUGUUUUUAAUCUUAUAGUCUUUUAAAUGGAGUUUUUAGCUGUUAAAUUGCAUGUUUUAAAUAAAAGCCAAAAAUUGGAUUGUUAAUGGUGGAUUUCGAGAUUUUGGGUAAAAAUAUGGUGUCAAAGUGUUUUUCAAUUAGUUGACACGAUUAGAAUGUUUCUAAACUUACUAAAAAGUUUUUUUUAAAUAUUUCUAAUGUUUUAAUGAAAUUUUGUGAAAUUUUUCAUAAACAUGUAACACCCCUCACCCGUAUUCAAGGUCGAAAUAGGGUUACAGAGCAUUACCAAACAUAUUAUACAAUUACACAUACAUUUUCUCAUACAUUAUCAAUUUCAUGUAAUCAUCAAUCAACAACAUUCAUAUUGUCCCUAAUACGAGCCUAAGAGGCGCAAAACAUGCAUUCGGGGUGGUUUGGGACGAAACUGAUAACUUUAGAAGCUUUUCAAACACUUAGAAAUUUUUUCCACAAACAGGGGACACACGCCCGUGUGGCCCAGCCGUGUGAGAAGACACGCCCGUGUCACAGGCCGUGUGGAAAUUCAAAAUGGAAUCACAUGGUUGUGUCCCAGUCUAUGUCCGACCCUAUGUAACUUUCUGACUUGGGUCACACGGCCAAUACAUGCGCCCGUGUGCCCUAAAAAUGGUCAUACACGCCCGUGUACCAGGCCAUGUGCUAGGUCGUGUCAAACCUAUAGGGUAUACUAACUUAUGCCACACAGCCAAGUCAUACACCCGUGUGUGAGGCCGUUUAGAGCAUACUGACUUAAUUUAAAAUUCAACACCAAGGGACACAUGGCCGUGUACAUUACCGUGUAUCACACACAGCUGAGAAACACGCUCGUGUCUUUGCCCGUGUGGACAAAAAUUGUCUAUUUACCAAACCAUUUUGCCACCCAAAUUUGUAGGCACCUGUACCAAACCAAAUGGCACCAAAACAUAGUAUAUAUAGGAAUUCAAACCAACUAAAUCAAGCCUAAUUCAUGCUAACUCAAUAUCAUUAUCCACAAUAUACACAAGUUACAAAAUAGUCCAAUCUAUUUAUACCAAAUUCACAUAUAUAUUUCAACUAAAUAGACAAUUUCAAAUGUGCAUCAUUAUGCUCAAACUCACAAGCAUAUAUCUUCUCAUAUAUCAAACAUUUGAAAACCACAAUACCAACUAUCAAUAAGCAUCACAAAGACAACCUCAAUCACAUAAUACAAGCCAUAUGCACACAUAUACAUAUACAUAUACACAACCAAACCAACCAAAUUAAGCCAAAUUUCAUGACUAUAUAUACAAACCAAACCAAAAACAUUUACAAGCCAACUCAAGUGGCUAAAUUCAUCAUAAACUUAUAUACCAAAAUGACCAAAGUUCCUAUACAUGCCAUAUACUCAAAACAUAGAUUCAAAGGUACCAAAAUGAAUGUUUGAUAGUGUGAUGAAGUCUCCGACUAUCCCCAAAUUCGAGCUAGCAUUGAAAUCACUAUAAAACAUAGAAAAAUAAACAAAGUAAGCUAUAAAGCUUAGUAAGCUCGUAUGAAGAUAAUAAGCAAAACUCACAAUUUAGUUAACAUUCAAAAUAUGCAUAUACAUAUUACAAAAAUAUGUAUAAAAAUAAUUUUAACAUAUAUUCAAUCAUCUAUUUAGCCAUGAACUCAAAUCUUUCAUAUGCUCAAUACAUAUUCAGUUUCUGUACAUACUGAUACAGAUCUAUUCUCACCAACUCAUAUCCUCGAUAAACUCGUUGAACCAUUUGGAAUAAAUUCGGAUACCCGGGAAUCUUGCACAAUAAGUACCAAUAACAAUAUAGUCGAACUUAUCUCAAUAAUCUUCACCCAAAGUGUCAUUAUACAUAGCCGAAGCCAUCUCGAUCACGCACACGAAGUGCCAAUACAUAGCCGAAGUUAUCUCAAUAACUAUUCCUAAUGACAUGCCAUUUGUAUCCUAAUCUAUUCCUAAAGUUCAAUCGGGAUUUCUAAUGCCGAGUCGUCGUCGAAUUUAUCCAUAAUGUCGAAUUCAUAGUUUAUGCAAUAUCAAACAUUUAAAAUACAAUUAUAAUAAAACUUAUUACAUACGAACUUACCUCGAUUCACAAAAACGAUGAAAUAAGUCGAUUAGUCGAGUACUUUGGUUUUCCCCCAAUCUAGAUCUGAGUUUCACUUUUCUUGAUCUAUAUGUAAUCAAAUUUAGCUUAUUUAAUUAUCACUCUAUUCAAUUUAAUCCAAAAACACUCAUUUAAGCAUAUUUACACUUUUGCCCUAAGUAUUUCACAACUUUUACAAUUUAGUCCCUAUUUCAUAAAAAUUGAAAUUCAUGCUAUUUAAUACCAACUCAUGCUAGCCAAAUUUUCCUAGUUCACAUAUCAGCCUAUAUUUUUCAUUUAUUUCACAAUUUACCCACAAAAUUUUCAUAGUUCUUAAUUAAUUCUCUAAUUUGCAUUUUCACUAAAAAUCACUUAACAAAACUUGUGUAACUAUCAUCAAACAUUCAUAAUCUAUCAUCAAACAUCAAAAUACUCAUAGAUUCAUCAAUGGAAAAACCAUAAACCUUUAACAAUUUUGCAAAAUAGUCCCUGGGCAACGAUCUCAAAAACACAAAAAUCAUUAAAAACCGAGCAAUAAAACACCUACAUGCAUGGAUAGCUAUGGCUUAAUGCUUCAAACCCUUUCCAUGGAGUUUUCAAGGUUAAUAUUCAGUGGUUAAAACACUUUGGAAGAUGACCAUUUGUUUUUUUUAUUAUUUUAACUUAAGUUAUUUUAUAAUUUACUAAUUUAACCUUUAUUAAAACAUUAAAAAUUCAUAUAAACCAUUUACAUAAAUGUCCACCCACCUUAAUAAUGGUCUAAUUACAACAUAAGGACUUCCACUUUAAUAUUACAUAGCUUUUAGAUACCUUUAGCUAAUAGAACUCAAGUUUUACACUUAACGCGAUUUAGUCCUUUUUAUCAAAUUAAGCACUCAAACAAUAAAAUUUCUUAACGAAAAUUUCACACAAACAUACUAUCAUUCUGUAGACCUUAAAAUCGUAAUAAAAUAAUUAUUUCAACUUUGGAUUUGUGGUCCCAAAAUCACUGUUUCAAUUUGACUAAAAAUGAGUUGUUACAAAAGAUUUCAAAAAUUUUGAUAUCAUGAAUUGGGUAGUUUUAGUAGUUUAAAGGUUGAGAAUCAAUCGUAGGUGAAUAGUUAGAUGUAAAAAAUUAGUUUUAGGAAAAAAAAUUUAAGUAUAGACCGAGAUAGUUGAAAUUCAAGUUUGUUAUGUCGAAGGUUUCGAUUACAAAAGAAUUUAGCUUAGGCUUGCAUUUUGAUUGUUUGAAGUAAGUCUUUGACUGAUUGUUGAUGGUGUAUAUUGUGUGGUUAUUAUGAGUGAAACAUCAAAACUAUCGGAGCCUUCUAUGAGCAAGGCGAAAGGCAAGGAAAGCUAGAUUAAGCUUUCGACUUUUCGGCAAAAGUGAAAUCGGUGAAUGUUUGGAAUUACUUCUAGUAGACACAAUUUAUAGUGUUAUUUGGGAGCUUAAGAAUAACCUAAACCCCUAUCCUAAGUUUCAAAAGUAUGCUUUCUAUUUUACUUAUCUUAUUUUGUCAAAUUAUGUGAUUAUGUGAAUAAUUGUGGAUUGAUUAUUAUGAUACGAUAUUGUGAUAUGAGACAUGUGUGAUGACUAUUGUGAAUUGUGUUGUGUUGUGGGCAUGAUAUACAUGCCAAAUAAUAGUGACAAUGAUAUGCUAAUAAUGCAAAUAUGUAGUGAAAGCAAGCAAAAUUUUGAUAAAUAUAAAUGUUUUAAAUUGUGGAAUGUGAUAUUAUUAUGACAGGUAAUAUGUAAAAAUACUUGUAUGUGAUAUAUGAUGUAUUGAUUUUAAUGCACACAUAUGUAACCAAAUAUCAAAAUGUCACACCACUGUCUCACAUCACACACAGUACAAAUGAGCACAGUAUUAAAGAAACGUCUUUCAUUGUAGCAUCUACAUGAGUUUUAAGUCAAAUAAGGUCCUAAUUAUCAUUAAGACUUAUACACUUGCUUUAAAAGAUCAUAUAAUAACAUUUGCAUAUACAUGAGGGCCACUUAGCAAAAUUUCCAAAACAAUCACGUACGUAUCGAUACUAAAACAAAUGUAUCAAUAUUUCCUUUAAAUGGUAUUGAUACCAAUUGGAAAAUCGGUACCAAAACAACAUUAUGUUUCUCCUCUGAAAAUCAAAUCCUAGAAAAUUCCAAUACAUUUAUUAAAGUAUCAAUUAUUUUACCCCGAUUAUCGAUACUCAUGAUAAGGUAUUGAUACCAAAUUACAAUAUUGACUUUUUUCACAACGAAAAAUCAUAGAGGUAUCAUUUUUAAAACCUGAAUAUCGAUAUCUCUACUUUAGACACCAAAAGUACAACAUAAUAAGGUAAAUAAUCCAUCCCAGUCAUAAACCAUUCGACAUAUAACUAAUACCACAUCAAAAUGACCACAAUAAUAGUUCAAUCAUCGAAAUCACGUCUGAGUAACCAAGCGACAUAACAAGAACAAUAUCCAUAAAUCCUAAGAGUUAAUAAACUAUGAAAAUAGCCAAAACAUCAUGGCAACACUUAUGUAAUAAUUCUACCACAUUGCCUUUAUUUCCCAAAUAAAAAACAAAUAAUAAAUCACCUAUAAAGUAUUACUAGAAACUCGCUUGGAUCAAUCCUUUGAAACCAUACCGCUCAUACCAAAACACUACUAAUCUAUAAUAGAUUAAAAGGAGUGGGUGAGCUUAACAAGCCCAGUGAAUGUCGGAGUAACCACAGAGUAUACACAAUAUCAAUGGUUAAACAAGAGCAUACUAGAACACAUUCACAUCCAUAUUCUAACCAUGUCACAAUAACAUAUUCAUGAUUAAUUAAAUCAACAAUUAAAAAUGUGUAAUUUUGUUCUGGAUAUGUUGGCCUUGUGACCUUAUGAGACCAUUGGAUAUAGUUGGCAUGCCAUGGGAUUGUCAGUACUCACCUAUAUGUAUUUGUGAUUUAGACAUUGAGGCCCCGGGACAUGUUUGGAGAGAUAAGAGAAUGUGAGCUAAGCUUCAUUCAACAAGACAUGUUUGGUGUGUUGGAGAGUGUUAGCUUUAUGCUUCACUUUUUGGGAUAUUUUCGACUCUAUCAAUUGGUGUGUUGGAGACCCGUGUAUUCUAUGUGUGGUGAUAGAACUAAUUUUUAUGUUUCACAGCCUCAAGUGCCAAAUUAUCGUUUAAAUGUGAUCUUAUUUAUUGUGAUAAUAUAAUGUAAGAUGGUUGCAUAAACAUGUAAAUAAUAUGGUAAAUGAGUUUAUUUAAGUUCCAUGAAAAUGAUAGUAUGUUCUCAUAGUAAAUUGCGUAUGUAAUUGUAGUUUGGGUCAUUUUUAUUUAACUUGUGAAUGCAUGAGAAUAUAUCAGCUAGACUUGUGAGUUAUUAAAGCAUGUAUACGUUGUUAGUCUUAAUGAAUUAUUAUAAAAUGAAUUAUUUGAAUAUGAGUUGAGUGUUGCUAUACAUGAGAGUAUAUGCUAGUUUUAUGAUUUAAUAAAGUGUAAAUAUGUUAUUUUGACAUGGUUAGAAUAUGGAUGUGAACGUGUUGAAGUAUGUUCUUAUUUAACCUUUGAUAUUGUGUAUAUUCUGUGGUUACUCUGGCAUUCAUUGAGCUUGGUAAGCUCACUCUCUCCUUUUAAAACCAUUGCAGAUUAGUUGUGUUCUGGUGUGAGCAGUGUGGUUCCAAGGGGGUGAUCCAAGCAAGACUUUAACAUUAUUUUGUAGGUGUUAUUUAUUAGUUUAUGUUUUGGAGAGAUAAAGGCAAUAUGGUAAAAUUGUUGCAUGAAUUUUACCAUGAUGUUAUGGUUAUUUUCAUGGCUUAUUUGCUCUUUGGAUUUAUGGAUAUUGUUCUUGUUAUAUUGUAUGCUUACUCGGACAUGUUUUCGAUGAUUGAACUAUUAUUGUGCUUGUUUUGAUGACUACCUGAUCAGUAAACAAUACAUGUUGAAUGGUCAUUAGUUUGAAUGGAUUAUAUGCUUUAAACUGUUGGAUUUUUGUGGCUUGAAGUAAAAGUAUCAAUAUUUGGGUUCUUAAAACAAUACCUUUGUGAUUUUCAAAAGUGUAGAAAGUCAGUUUUGCAAUUUGGUAUCGAUACCAUAUCACGAGUAUCAAUACUCGGGGUAAAAUAAUUGAUAUUUAAAAAGAGGUACCAAUAAUUUUUGGGCUUUCAUUUUUGGACGAGAAACAGAAUGUUGUUUUGGUAUCGAUUUUCCAAAAGGUAUUGAUACCAUUUAAUAGAAAUACUAAUACAUUUGUUUCAAUAUCAGUACCUACAUGAAUUGUUUUGAAAUUUUGCUAAGUGAUUCUAAUGCAUGUUUAAUUAUUAUAAGUUCAUUUAGAGUAUGUUUGGCAUGUUCUAAUGAUGGAUGAUAUGUGUUUGACUUUAAAUUCGUACAAAUGCUAAAUAGAAAGAACAAUUGUUUUUUAAUCUGACAUAUUUUAUGUAUAUGAUGUGUGAUGGUGGUGUGACAUCCUAAUAUUCGGACUCGGUGACUGAAACGGGUAUAGGGUGUUACAAUUAACUUGUAACAAGUUUCCCUUUUAUGACUCUUAAUCUUGCAAUGAUCACAAAGACCAGUAAAUUUCUUUUUGGGACCUAUAUGUUGCAUGUUAAAAGAAUAUAAGGCAGUAAGAUCAUUAAUCAUAACUAACCUUGAAAUAUGCUAUCGUUGAGCUUCUUUUUGAAUAACCAUCGAGUAUGCUUGAUUGAUCGAUAGUAGGGGCUGCAUUAAUAACAUUUGACUCUUAACGACUGAAUAUAUUUCAUUUAAUCCCAUGAAAAAUUGAAACAAUCAUUCCUGAAGCAAGUGUUAAGCAUUCUUCUUAGACAAGUCACAAUCAUGAGUAGAAAAUGGGACUAAGGCAUCAUAUUCAUCCCAUAAAAGUCUUAGAUUUUUAAAAUCAUUGCAAAUAGAAGAAACAACUUGAACAUGAGAAGCAAUAAAGACUCGAGAGCAUUAAACUUUGUCAUUCAUCUCUUUGAGAUCUUGCCAAACUAAUGUUGCAUUAGAAGCAAAUACUAUACCAGCAGAAAGCUAUUUACAAAUAGUAUAAAGAAUCCAAGAUGAUACUGCGACAUUGUAUCUUUCCCACUGAGACUGCCAUCUAGAAGGGAACUAAUCUUUCUUGUAAGAACCAUAAACAAAUCCCAAAUUUUUCUUUGCCAACAAUGCUAUGUGUAUAAACCAACUACAAACACUAAUUCUCAAAUCCUAAAAGCUGAUGGGAGACUAAAAGAGACUCCUUAGGUGGAUGAAUAUGCAAAGGAUGAUUGAAAUCAAUUAAAGUGGUAGAUUUUUUAUCAUUGACCAUUUCAAUAAAAAACAAAUAAACUAUAAAGCUUUAACCAUGAAUUCAUAGGAAUCACAAAAACUAAAGAAAUCAAAAUCAAUGAAAACUUAUCAGAGUAAGAGAUCGAAAAUUCUUCUUGACCCGGAUACCAUGUUGAAUUAAUUGAUAAGAGAUCAAUUGUUGAGAGAUCGAAAAUUCUUCUUGACCCGGAUACCAUGUUGAAUUAAUUGAUAAGAGAUCAAUUGUUGAUGAUGAAAUCACAAAGAAGAGAGAAAACUUUUUUUUUUUGUUAUCAUUGAAUGAAUAAUAUUAAACAAAUUGUAGACACCCUUUUUUGUCUGAACCCAAUUGGAGGCCCAUUUGUUCCAUUUAAAUUUGUGUUCUCUUUGGCCCAUUCGAAGCUCACCCUAUUUUGGUCAAAUGGAGGUAUUUGUUUUUCUUUUCUUUUUGGGCCUACUAAGGGCCCAAAUUAUUAUUAUUAUCAUUCCUACUAGUAUUGUUAUUAUUAAAUAUUAUUAUCUUUUUUUACAAAUAAACAAGAUUGAAAAACAAUAUAUAUAUACAUGAAAGGAAAGGAAAGGAAAGAAAAGGAGGCUUUUCAUAUUCUUUUUUUUUAAAGAAAAAAAGAUAAAAGAAAACAACAAGAAGAAGAAACAUGCUAUUUCUUUUUCUUUUCUUUUUGCUAUAGACAUGUCAUUAGGGAUCAAGUUUUGGGCUUCAGACAAUCGGUCCUCCACCCUAGGAGCCCCAAAAAUCCUAGUUUAUUUCCCUUCCCCUUUCUAAUAUAACGGUCUUUUUUUAAAAAAAGGUUUGAUCUUGAGAAAAGUUUUGGUUUUUUUUUUUUAAAAAAAAGAGAAAGUUUAGAUUUUUUUAAAAAUAAAAAAUUAUUUUUCUAGUCAUUUUAAAGGAAAGUUUAAAAUUUUAAAACAAAUUUUUGAUUUAUUUUUUCAACUAUUUCGAAAUAAAAGCUUUGAUCUUUAAGAAAAGUAGUUUUUUUUAAAAAAAGAGAGUUUAGAUUUUAAAAAAUAAAAAAAAAAUUAGUCAUUUUAAAGGAAAGUUUAAAAUUUUAAAACAAAGUUUUUAUUUUUAUUUUAACUAUUUCGAAAUAAAAGCUUUGAUAUUUAAGAAAACUAGUGAUGUAAUGCCCAAAGUUUUAAAUAUAGGUUAUGAUAAAAUAGUACAUAAUUGAGUAUCUGAUUUAGUGGUUAAGUGUUCUGGGUGUGUGUGUGAGGUCCCAACUUCAAGCCACAACUUAGGUGAAUUUUAGUAUUUUUAUGAAUAAAGCCCUAUCUCUGUACAGUAUACUUUUAUUUAAUUAUUUGUGAAAACAUAUUAGAAUGGGCUUGUUGGUCUAGUGGUUAAGUGGAGUGUUGAUGUGUUGGAGGUCCUGUGUUCGAAUCUCUGAGUAGGCAAGGGAUAGUAUUUUUGCUUCCUAAUUGCGGCUAGAGUAGUGUUGAAAGGGGAUUCUGAGUAGUGGGAUAGUUGUGAGAGAUUUGAGAAGAUUAUGGGGGAAGUUAUCAUAAUAUUUGCCUAUUCUGAUUAUCUUUUUUUCAAAUUUCUGGCUCCCUCUUCCUCUUUCCCUGAAAACAAACGGAAACACUCAAUUUUCCCCUCUUCUUAUUGCUUUUGAUCUCAAUCAAUACCUUUCCCUUUUUUGUUCAUUCAUUUUGCUCUUCGGGAAGUUAUUUGCUGCUUUCAGCCCUAGUUGGUAAGUAAUCUUUGUGCUUUGGAGUUUGAUUUUUAAGUUCUGAUUGGAGGUUUGUGUAUUAUGUUUUGAUAGCAGAGAAUAGAGUGUAAAGAGGGCUGCCUUAGUGUCGUUUAGUAGUUAGAUCAUUCGGGGUUUUGAGGUAAGCACUAAAUAGAUGUUUUGAGUUGUUGUAGGAGUGGUGUUUUCGGCUUAAUUCUGGUAUUAAGACUAAUGUUAGUGUUGGAUUGGUCAGUUUUACGUAAUGAUCGUCUCGGGUGUGGUUUUAACAUCUAAAGAUACCAGGUAUGUACCCAAAACACAGAAAACGAGAGUCAGCGAAAAGUCGAAAAACCAAUCUUUCGACACUACACAAGCGUGUGGUUGCCCGUGUGGUAGGCCUUGUGACAGAACACGGGCGUGUGAUCGACGAGCCAAGUCAUGCGUGCAUGAAACGACCAUGUGACAACUAGGUAGGUCAUGUGCGUCACACGAGCUCGACCGGGUUGGGCCGUGUGGGCCCAGAUAGGUAAACCACACGGGCGUAUGAGAUUCUGGGCCAAGCUGUGUAAUCCACACAACCAAGGCUAUUUUGAGCCGCAUGGGCCAUACGAACGUGUGGGCCCACAUGGGCAUGUGAACCCAUUUUUCUGAAAUCAAUUUUGUAAGGUUGCACGGGUCGCUCAAGUUGACUAUGACCUACUAUAGGAUCGAUAAGCAUUGUUUGGUCCCCUAAAUGCGUGAUCUAUUGUAUGAUAUCAGUACUGAGUCUGAUAAUACUGAACUGAUUGUGUGAAUGAUUAUUGCAUAAUAGCAUGCCAUUCAUUGUAUGUUGUAUUGAAUCGGGAUGGGUUGAUGAUUUAUUGGAGGAAGUGUCUGAAAGGCUCUUAAGCCUAUUAUCCAGCAGCUCAGCUGCAAAUAUCUGUUUAUGUGUCGCGUUUCGGUAAAGUAUGGUGUGUAGGGAUGGGUGGGUCAAUUUUAUCCUCACAUGGUGUGUAGGGUUGGAUGGAGAUGGUGUGUAGAGGCUGGUGGGUAGGAUUCUAAUAUUCUAUUCUGCAUCUGUAUCUGCUUAGGCUAAAGCCCUAAUUAUAUCUAAUUCUGCAUCUGAAUGGGCUAAGUCCCAAACUGAUUCUGUAAUGGGCUCUGGCCCUAGACUGUUUAUUUUUGAAUUCUGAUUAUUAUUCUGUAUGUUUUCUGUGGGGAUUACACACUGAGUUUGUGAAAACUCACCCUUUUCUGUUUAAUCUAUACAGGUAUUCCCCAGUCUUGACGAAUCGGUGUAGUGGAGGACUCGAUGGUGGCCACAUGUAAAAUUUUAGACUGACUUUCCAUUUACUUCUAGUUUUUAUUACUUAUUUGGGGUUUUUGAUGUAAUUUUGGACUGUUUGGUUUUAAUUCGAGAUUUUAUAUGGUUUUAUGAUUAUUUAAACUGCAACUCAUCAAAACUCAGCUUUCCUAAAAACUAAGGUUGUCGUAAAUAAAAACUAUUUUUCCUAAAAUAAAAUGUUUCUAAAUCUUUCGCUUAAAAGAGAUACGUUUUAAUCACAACAAAGACCAUGUAUAUCUACUCCAGGGUAAAACAAAGAUUAAGUAACUGAAACGAUUUUAACUCAUCAAAUCUGAUUUCAAACUCCAUAUCAUGUGACAUCACCAGAUUCGGCCAUAACGUCUGGGCCAGGUUUGGGGUGUUACAUUUAAUGGUAUCAGUGUCAGGUUGCAAAAAUCGACUCUGGAUAGGGUUUUAAAUUCUGUUUAAAAGAAAUGAUUUUCAAUAGGUUGAAACAUUCUUAAUUGAGAAUAUGGUACACCGAGUGAGUCUCCAGCACUGAUCUUGUAAGUUUCUGAAACUCUGUUUAGAAUUGUCUGAAAGUAUGAUUAGAAUAAACUGAAACUACUUUAGGUAGUGUAUUACAUUGAAAACACUCUAGGUAGUGUAAACUAAGAAUUGGAGUGAGACUACUUCUCAAGGUAACCGACUCUGAAUAUUCUAAUACUUUACUGCAUAAAAUAUUUGUUAAUAUAAUAUCAAAACUGUUAACUAAUGUAUAAAACUGCUAAUACAGAUAAAUUUUGAAAUUUACAAUGAGCGCACGUAGUACUCGUGGACGGGGUACUAGAGGCCGUGAUAGAGGCCGUACAGGGGCUCAAGUUAGGUUUUCGUUAUCUGGGAAUCUGCCUAACUUGGAUACUAGUGAGACACUGGUAUCACCUGUGACAGAGACUGGGUCUCGAGAUCGUGCAGUUGGGGACAACGCACUGUCCCAAGCCAUGUUACAGAUUCUGGAGAGGGUCGUUGUGCCCAACAUUGGAACUGGGGGCCGAAGGUCGGUUACGGAAUGACUCCGGUCUAAAGGGGCUGAGUUAUUCAGAGGUGUCGCUGGAUUCACCCCUAAUGUGGCCGAGUAUUGGAUGGAGGCCACGGAAAGAAUUAUAGACAACAUGGAUUUUACUGCUGAGCAGAAGCUUAAGGGAGUUACAUCUUUGCUUCGUGAUGAGGCGUACCAGUGGUGGUUGACGGUUAAGGAAGGCACCCAGCCCAACUGACUGACAUGGGAUCUUUUUAAAACGGCCUUCCAGGGCAAGUAUGUGGGGGUCAGUUAUAACAACGCUAGGAGAUGGGAGUCCCUUAAUCUUACUCAGGGAGAUCGUUCAGUGGCCAAGUAUGAGGCUAAGUUCUUGAGGUUAAGCAGUUAUGCGUGAGGCAUGGUGGCAACCGAGUAUGAGCGCUAUGUCUGAUUUGAGGAUGGUCUUAGAGACAGCUUGUAAGUUUUGAUAGCUCCGUAGAGGGAGCAUGAUUUUUAUGUUCUAGUUGAGAAGGCGAACAUCGCCGAGAAGGUUAAGCGUGCUAACGCCAAAAUCGAGAGAAAAGAAAGAAUAAGAGGGAAUUAGAGCCCUCGAGUUCUGGGAUAAGGCCUAAGAAAAAGACCAGAGCUAAUGGACCAGUUAGAGUUGGGCUUCCUGUUACACCUAUUGCGGUGGCGCUUUGUGGGCACUAUGGUAGACGUCAUCCGAGCGAGUGUUGGAGGACUACUAGGGCAUAUCUGAGAUAUGGGUCAACUGAGCAUCGUGUUAGAGACUGUCCAUUGAGAACUAGUCAGAUGCAAGCUCCAGUUACUGAGACUGCACAACCGUUGAGAGCAGUUCAGCAGCCACCUACGGGCUGAGGUCAGGCCAGGGUGGUAACGGCAUGGAGCGAGGGCAGAGAGCAUCAGGUAGAGGUCCUGGUUCAACUGAGGUGAGGCAGCCUACUUUGGUCUAUGUUGCUCAUCGCCGUGAGGAUAGAGAUGCAUCAGACAUCAUUACGGGUACGUUUUUAAUAUUUAAUGUACCUUAUCUUACACUGAUAGACCUAGGCUUUACACACUCAUAUGUAGCUAGUUCUGUGUCUGAGACUUUGGGGAUUCCAGUUGAGAGUACUAAUAAUGAGGUAACUGUGUUAAGUCCUUUGGGACAAUCUGUUCGGGUUAGUAGAGUGUAUAGAGAUGUUUCGCUGGAGGUUCAAGGGACAAUGUUUCUGGCUGAUCUAAUGGAGCUUCUGUUUGGGGAGUUCGAUCUGAUUUUGGGGAUGGACUGGCUGGUUAAACACUGGGUGAGUCUAGAUUGUGCGACAAAAAUGGUUGUCUUGAGGAUCGAGGAGGACAAUGAGGUAGUCGUGAUUGGGGAACAACGUGAUUAUCUAACUAAUGUGAUUUCUGCAUUGGCGGCAGAAAAGUUAGUGAGGAAAGGGUGUAAGGCAUUCUUAGCCUACGUCAGUAUUUUUGAUUCUGGAGACUCUUCGGUUAAGGACAUCAGAACCGUGAGGGACUUUCUAGACGUAUUUCCUAAGGAACUACUGGGGUUGUAUCGAAGCCGUGAGGUAGAGUUUAGGAUUGAGUUGAUUUUGGGUAUAGCUUUGGUGUCUAUCACCCCUUACCAAAUGGCACCAAAGGAGCUUACAAAGCUUAAAGCUCCGGUUCAAGAACUGUUAGAUCAUGGGUUCGUUCAUCCCAGUGUGUCUGGGGAGCACCUGUUCUAUUUGUGAAAAAGAAAGAUGGGACAAUGAGGAUGUGUAUCGACUAUCGUUAGUUGAACAAGUUAAUGAUCAAGAAUAAGUACCCACUUCCAAGAAUAGAUGAUUUGUUCGACCAGUUCUGAGGAGUUUCUAUAUUUUCUAAGAUCGAUCUAUGAUAGAGUUACCAUCAGUUGAGAGUUAAGGAGGUCGAUGUGUAUAAGAUGGCAUUUAGGCCUCGUUAUGGACAUUACAAGUCUCUAGUUAUGCCAUUUGGGUUGACUAAUGCACCAGCAGCAUUUAUGGACUUGAUGAAUCUGUGUUCUAGCCCUAUUUGGACCAAAUCGUGGUGGUAUUCAUCGAUGACAUCUUGGUAUAUUCUAAGUCUGAGGAUGAGUACAAUGAGCAUCUUAGAGUGGUUCUACAGACUCUUAGGGAGAAACAUUUGUAUGCGAAGUUCAGUAAGUGCGAGUUCUGGCUCUGAGAAAUAGCCUUUUAAGUCAUGUGGUUUUGGUUGAGGGGGUGUUAAUCUUCCUAAGAUUGAGGCUAUGUUAAGUUGGAAAUAGCCGAAGAUUGUAUCUAAAAUUUGUAGCUUUAUGGGGCUGGCAGGAUAUUAUUGAUGAUUCAUAGAGAGGUUCUCCUUGAUCGCAGCUCUGUUAACUAAGCUUCUGUAUAAGGGAGUUCCUUUUGCUUGGAAUGAUGCACAGUAAGAGAGCUUUGACAAGCUCAAGACCGUUUUAACUUAGGCUCCUGUUCUGAUAUAGCCUGAGCCCAGUAAGGACUUCGUGGUUUACAGUGAUGUUUCACACGUCGGUUUAGGGUGUGUAUUGAUGCAGGAUGGUAAGGUGGUAGCUUAUGCAUCCCAUCAGCUCAAAAAUCAUGAAGCAAACUAUCCUACGCAUGAUUUGGAAUUGGUUGCGGUAGUCUUCGCUUUGAAAAUUUGGAGGCACUACUUGUACGGUGAGAAGUGUACUAUCUACACUAAUCAUAAAAGCCUCAAGUAUCUCCUCAACCAAAAGGAGUUAAAUCUUAGGCAACAUAGAUGGGUGAAACUGCUUAAAGAUUACGAUUAUACCAUUGGGUACUAUCCAGACAAGGCCAAUGUGGUGGCUGACAUGUUGAACCGUAGGGAUAUGGCCGAUCUGAGAGUGAUGUUUGCUUGACUUAAUUUAUUCGACGAUGGGAAUCUAUUGGUAGAACUUCAGGUAGAACCGACAUGGAUUGAUCAGAUCAAAGGUAGACAGAUAGGGGAUAAGUCUCUUGAGUUGCAUUUCCAUCAGGUUGAGAGUGGUGUUACUAUAGAUUUUGGGAUUAAUAAGGAUGGGUUAUUGUGUUUCCGAAGUCAAAUUUGUGUGCCGAAUGGUGAGGACUUGAGACAGUCGAUUCUGAAGGAAGCACAUAGUAGCCCUUAUACUAUGCAUACCGAUGGGAAUAAGAUGUACAGAGAUCUCUGAGAGCUAUAUUAGUGGCCAGGGUUGAAGCGUGAGGUUACUGACUUCGUUGCUCGCUGUUUGACUUGCCAGUGGGUCAAGGCUGAGUAUCAGUUACCUUCGGGUUUGCUGCAGCCGGUUAAGAUUCCGAUGUGGAAAUAGAAGCAAGUAACGAUGGACUUUAUUAGUGGGUUGCCUCUAACACCCACUAAGAAGGAUUCUGUCUUGGUCAUCGUGGAUCGAUUGACCAAGUCUGCUCACUUCAUUCCGGUUAGGACAGACUUGUCUCUUCAGAAAUUGGCUAAGCUCUACAUAUCGAAAAUAGUGAGAUUGCAUGGGGUACCCGUCUCAAUCAUUUCGAAAAUAGUGAGUUGGACCGCAUUCAUGAUGUAUUUCAUGUCUUCAUACUGAGGCGUUACCGCUCUGAUUCCGCGCAUAUUGUUCCAGUUGAAGAGAUUGAGUUUUGACCAGAUUGACCUUCGAGGAGGAACAAGUUCAGAUUCUGAAUCAUGACGUUAAGGUUCUAAGGAGGAAAUCUAUUCCUUUAGUGAAAGUGUUGUGGCAGAAUCAUUGCACUGAGACGGCCACGUGGGAGCCAGAGGAUUCGAUGCGGCAGCAGUAUCCUCAUAUUUUCUAAUCAGGUAAAAUUUCGAGGCUGAAAUUUUUUUAGGUGGUAGAAUUGUAAAGCCCUAAGUUUUAAAUCUAUGUUAUGAUAAAAUAUUACAUAAUUGAGUAUCUGUUUCAGCGGUUAAGUGUUCUGGGUAUGUCUGAGAGGUCCCAAGUUCAAGCCAUAACUUAGGUAAAUUUUAGUAUUCUUAUGAAUAAAGCCCUAUCUCUGUUUAGUAGACUUUUAUUUAAUUAUUUGUGAAAACAUAUCAGAAUGGGCCUGCUAGUCUGGUGGUUAAAUGGAGUGUUGAAAGGGGAUUCUGAAUAGUGGGCUGUUAGUGGUAUAGUAGUGAGAGAUUUGAGAAGAUUAUUAGAGAAGUUAUCAGAAUAUUGCCUAUUAUGAUUUUUUUUCAAAUUUUUUCCUCCCUCUCCUUCUUUCCCCGAAAAUUGAUGGCAACUCUCAUUUUCCUCGUCUUCUUGUUGCUUUUGAUCUCAAUCAAUACCUUUUUCUUUGUUGUUCGUUUAUUUUUCUCUUCGGGAAGCUAUUUGUUGCUUUCAGCCCUAGUUGGUAAGUAAUCUUUGUACUUUGGAGUUUGAUUUUUAAGUUCUGAUCAGAGGUUUGUGUAUUAUGUUUUGAUAGUAGAUAACCGGGUUUAAAGAGGGCUGCCUCAGUGCCAUUUGAUAGUAAGAUCGUUUAGGGUUUUGAGGUAAGCACUAAGUGGAUGUUUUGAGUUGUAGUAAGAGUGGUGUUUACGGAUUAAUUCUGGUAUUAAGACUAAUGUUGGUGUUGGAUUGGUCAAUUUUAGGUACUGAUCAUCUCGAGUGUGGUUUUAGCAUCUAAAGAUACCAAGUGUGUACCCGAAACGUAGAAAACGAGAGUCAAUGAAAAGCCAAAAAACCAAUUUGUUGACGCCACAUGACGGAACACGGGUGUGUGAUCAAUGAGCCAGGCCGUGCGUACAUGACAUGGCCAUAUGAUAGCUAGAUUGGCCGUGUGUGUCACACAGGCUCGAUCAGGUUGGGCCUUAUGGGCCACACGGGUAUGUGGAAUUCUAGGCUAGGGGGUGUGGUCCAACAUGGGCAGGCUACAUGGGCAUGUGAGCCCAUUUUUUUGAAACAAUUCUGUAAGGUUGCACGAGUCACCCAAGUCAACUUGACCUGCUGUAGGGUUUGUAAGCAUUGUCUAGACCCCUAAACGCGUGAUCAAUUGUAUGAUAUCUAUACUGAGUUUGAUAAUACUGAACUGAUUGUGUGAAUGAUUAUUGCAUAUUAGCAUGCCAUUCAUUGUAUGUUGCAUUGCAUCGGGGUGGGUUGAUGAUUUAUUGGAGGAAGCGUCUGAAUGGCUCUUAGGCCUGUUAUCUAGUAGCUCAGCUGUAAAUAUCUAUUUAUGUACCGCGUUUUGGUACAGCAUGGUGUGUAGGGAUGGGUGGGUCGAUUUUAUCCCCAUAUGGUGUGUAGAGGUUGGUGGGUAGGAUUCUAAUAUUUUGUUUUGUAUCUGCAUCUAAUUACUCUAAAGCCUUAAUUUAUAUCUGAUUCUGCAUCUGAAUGGGCUAAGGCCCGAACUGAUUUUGUAAUGGGCUCCGACCCCAGAUUGUUUAUUUCUGACUUCUGACGAUAUUCCACACUGAGUUUGUGAAAACUCACCCUUUUCUGUUUAAUCUAUACAGGUAUUCCCCAGUAUUGACUGAUCGGUGUAGGGGAGGACUCGAUGGUGGCCACAUGUAAAAUUUUAGACUGAUUUUCCAUUUACUUCCAGUUUUUAUUACUUAUUUGGGGUUUUUGAUGCAAUUUUGGACUGUUUGGUUUUAAUUCGGGACUUUAUAUGGUUUUAUGAUUAUUUAAACUGCAACUCAUCAAAACUCAGCUUUCCUAAAAACUAAGGUUUUCGUAAAUAAAAACAAUUUUCCUAAAAUAAAAUGUUUCUAAAGCUUCCGCGUAAAAGAGAUACGUUUUAAUCACAACAAGUAGCACCGGUUACGACAUUAAAAUAGUAUUGCAGCAAAGCUGCUAUUAUAGUAGGCUUAAAGCCAUCAAUAGGUCCACAGUCGUCCUGCACGACCCGUGCGAACAUAUCAGUACAGUACACUUCCUCCAAAAUCAUAUAUCCCACCCCGUGUAAUGCAACAUAAUAUUAUACAUGGAUGCAACAUACAUAUAACAUGGCAUGCUCAGAUACAGUCAUACACAUCGUAGAACAAAUCUAUCAUUUUACCUUACCCGGAUAUUACAGUUAUUUUACCCUACAGGUGUAUUUCGGUCAUUUUACCCUAUGGGGGUAUUUCAAUCAUUUUACCCUAUGAGGGUAUUUCGAUCAUUUUAUCACAUAAGAGUUCAGGUAUGCUUAUCGAACCAACAGAAGCUCACAGUCGUCUCAGGCGACUCAUGCAAACUUAACAAUCAAAUAGUGAAAAUGGCCCAAGGCCCAUAAUACGGGCCCAUGUGGGCCCACAUAUUCGUGUGGCCCACGAAGCCCAAAAAUGGCCUUGACUGUGCAAACUACACAAUCUGGCCCAAAAAUCUCCACGUGUCCGUUUCAUUUACCCGUGUGGGCCAACGAGCCCGUGGGGCCUACACGGUCCAUUUCGGCCCAGCGUGGUCCAAAACGGCCUAAGCUCAUGAAAUCACUCAUGGCGGCCUCUACGUUCUAACGUACAUGAUUUACGCAUUCGGGAUACUACACGAGCGAGCGCAUGCUCAUGUAGAGUCAACAAUUCUUUAUUUUGGCUUUUGUCGUUUCACUAUUUAGGUAGUGUGAUUACACACCUGAUUAUGGAAUGCGUGAAAAAGACCACGAGUAGUUUACCCUGAUUAAAUCAAUCACUUAUGACUUGCUUACUGAAGCCGUUUACAAGAGGUUGAUAAAUAGGCCUUCGGGUUCUCUGCAAUCCAACCAACGAUUAACAAUCAUCAAUCAAAUAACAGCUGAACAAGACGAACUGUCGCUUACCAAAAAUGCAGAGUCUAGAUUUAAAAGGGAAAACAAUCGGCUCUUACCCACACAAGUCGAGAGUACAGAUAGAAUGAUAGGGGCACCCCCAAUAUUAGAGAACACUUGUAAAAGCUGAAAAUAGAGUGGGGAAAGGUAUAUACAGUAACGGUUAAAGUAUUAAAAUGGAAGAAUGACCAGAGGAUAGGAGAAAAAUAAAGUAUUCGGCAAGUGAACAAAAGGGAAAAAAAGAGUCGAUUAGCAAUAGUUGAGGGGUCUAAGAGACAGAGAUAGGAGUAUUCAGCCAAAAGCAUCAACGCAAGAAAUGAUGAUUGAAAAAAACCAAAUGAGGGGAAAAAAGAAUGGCAUUCGGUUAAGGGAAAGAAGAAGGACACGAGAGGAAACGAUUUGCUACCAGAGUAGGGAAGAAGAGAAGUUGAUCAAAAUUAGGCUCUGUAAAGAAGAGCAACCCGAAACAUACCUAAAAUGCAAAAUACCUGAGUGGUUAACAAUGUUCGGUCUUAAGAACAAAAGAGAAAAAAAGAAGCAACAAAGUUUCUAUCACAAAAUCGGCACCCCCAGAAUAAAGUCCCAAAACACAAAAAGGAAACAGAAUUUCCCAAAACUGAAGUUUUUUUAGGGAAAAGAUAACUUAGCCAAAAUUUUGUGUACCUCAUAACCAAUUUUGGCACAACACCACUUCUCUUCAAAUCCCACUUUUCCUCCCCUUAAUUCUCUCCUCAUAUCUCUCCUCAACUCCCUCCUACAAUCCCUCCAUGACCAAUUCAAACUCCACUCCACUCCACUCUACAGUGUUUUAGAAAAACUCUACUACCUCCCAUAGCCAACAAUAAAAAUAAUCUCCAUUUGCACAAGUAGGGAUUCGAACCUCAGACUCCUUGUACACUCCACACGCCACUUACCACUGGGCUAGCAUGCUUCCUUUUUGCCAUACUUUACCAAAAUAAACUUAUAACCCUACUGGCCAAAGAUAGGGAUUUUAUCCUCAAAAGCCAAAAUUUUGUGGAAGCCAAGGCUUGAACUCAUGACUUCCCAGACACUUCCAGAGCACACAACCACUAAGCCAAACACACAAUUGUGUCACUUCCUUACACAAUUAAAUAUUUAUGAGCAGCUUCCCAACUGCUCCCUCGCUCAAGACCUAAUACUUCUAGCCCAAAUUUGGGGCGUUACAAUUCUACCCUCCUUAAAGAAAUUUUUCCCCUGAAAUUUCCCAAUAUCAGAACAAUCGCAUAACACGAACUACACCAUCAUGCUCCCGCUGCACACUAUAGAUCCAAAACCAUACCACAUUUCACUUGAGCGUUUCCAAUACAAUCCAUAGAUAGAUUGGAACCAUGCAUCAAUCCAAUACUCACCGCACGAUCAUGACACCCCGCUGUAGCACCUCCAUGGCCUUCGCUGCAGCCACUUGUACCCCUUUUAUGAGAACCUCCGGUGCUAAAAAUUGAUUCACAUUUUAUCUUUAUUAGCAGUUUUAUGCAUCAGUUUACAAUUCCAGUGUUCAUUAACAGGUGUCUUAUGGAAUAGCAUUAUCAGUAUUUAAGAGUUUGUUUUCGCGGUACGCAGUGUCUAUCAAUGUCCACCAGUGUAAUGGCCUAAAUUCAAGGUUAUCGGAACAAUGGUUUCAUAACCAUAGAUCCGAUUUAAAGAGAAAUUUAUUUCAAUAUUUUUGCUUGAAAAUUUAUAUGAUAGGAAAAUCGUAUGAAAAUAUUGAUAGGAAAAUUUUAUCGAUUUAGUGAUUAGUUAGAAAAAGAAAUUAUUGAAGAAAUUGGGUAAAAUAAGGUAUCGAGGCCUCUAUCUCGUAAAAUCGAGUCGAAAAUAAUUUUAUAAAUAUUUAUGAAAUGUUAUUAAUGUGGUAUUAAAAUUUCGUUAGGAAAUUUUAAUGUUUGGGUAGUCAAUUAAAUGAAAAAGACUGAAUUAUAAUAGGUGUAAAAGUUGCUAGAGUGAUUAAAUAGCUUAAGAGUCUAAUGAGAAAGGAUUUAAAAGGCAAUUAGACCCAAAAGUUAUUUGGCUUGGACGGAAAGGGUAUGAAAUCAGCAGAAAAAUUGAUAAAUUAAGGGUAAAAUUGGAAUAUUGCAAAAUUAACUAAAUAAAACUAGGACUAAAUAGGAAAUAUCUAGAUUUCUCUUCAAUUCCAGCAGCUAAAAACGCCAUAGGAGGGUUCUAUAAGCUGGUAUUUCAUAAUUUUUGCACCAAAUCCGAAAGAUUCAAAUACGAAGCUAGAUCGAGGAAAGGAAAAAGUUCGGGAUUAGUAGAUUUUUACUGUUUACAAACAAGUAUCAAGGUAAGUUCGUGUAACUUGAAUUAUAUUCUUAAAUGCUUGAGAUUGUAUGUUAUUGAUGUGAAUAUGGUUUGAGUGUUCAUUGUAUGAAAAUUAAUGAAACAUUGAUAUAUUUGAUAAAAUGGGAAGAAAUCCCGAUUGAAUGAAAGGAAAAUUCGAUGGAUCUCUGAAAAGGAAUUGAAAGUAAAAAGGAUCUAGCUCGGACGGGUGAUCUUAUCCUGAUAUAGCCCUUCCGAAGAAUAUGUGUAAAAUGGAUUUAGCCCGGACGGGUAAUCCGAAUUAGGGUCUGAAUUUAGCCUGGACUGGUAAUUCAGAUCCAAGCUCAUUAGAGUAAUUGUCGUUGCAGGGGAUUUAGCCUGGACUGGUAAUCCCGACAAUACUCUAUGAGUUUAUAUUGCAGGGGAUUUAGCCUGGACUGGUAAUCCCGCUGCAAGGUUGAGGUUCGCGGGAAUGUGCUCUCUGAAAUGGAUAUGUGCGCACAUGAAUAUGAAUUGACGGGCCCGGAAUUGUACACUAAAUGUGUACCUCUGAAAAUCCAUCGAAAUUCUGAUAAAUUCAACGGGAUAAAUAUGGAAAAAUAACAAGGAAAUGGAAAUCAUGGUAUUGAAGAGCUCAUCAAUCAUGGUAUAUAUUAUUGGUACAUGAAAAUUAUUGUACUAACUUGAAUGUUGAGUUUGUGCAUAUUAGGGUAAUAAUGCAUUGAAUGGAUAUAUGGAUGUUUAUUGUAUUGUAUUGAAAAUAUUAGGUAUUCUUGUUACAUGAGCUUACUAAGCACAAAGUGCUUACCCCGUUUCCUUUUUCCCUGUUUUGUAGUGUUAAGAGCUCGGAGGUCGGAUUUGGUCAGAGACACAUCACACUGUCAACCUCAGGAUCUCGGUAUAUAAAGAAACUUUAUUUUGGAAAUCAAUGGCAUGUAUAAGCUAACAAAGUAAAUGUUAACGUGAAAUGAAUGUAAAGUUAGCCAUUAGUAUGGUUAACAAAACUGGUUAUAGAUAUGUGAUGACGUUAUCUUAUAUAAAUGCAUGAAUCUAUCAUGAAAAUAUGUUGAAUUGAUUUGGUUGAUGUGGAUUGGUCUCGAUUUAAUAUUACAGGGAAGGUUAGAUAUUUAUAAAAGAGCUAUAUUGAAUAUAAAAAAAAAUUUAAUUCGUAAACUCUGGUAAUGCCUCGUACCCUAUUCCGGCAAUGAAUACGGGUAGGGGUAUUACAACCAGUCUCACUACAGUUUCAGUAUACACUACUAAAAAGUUUGCAAUAUAGUAUAUUACCUAUGGUAGUCUUAGUAAUCCUACCUAUGGUAGCUCCAAUAAAAAUAAAAAUACAAUUUUUAGAGAGAACUUACAAGAUCAGCGCGGAGACUCGGUGUACCACACAUCCAGUAAAACAUUUCAAAAUGUUUCAAAUCAUUCGAAAUAGUUCUCUUUGAAUUCCUCAGUUUAAAAAGAAACCCAAAUUCACAGUCAAGUUUUGUAACCUGGCUCUGAUACCACUAAAUGUAACAUCCCAAACCUGGCCUAAACAUUAUAGUCGAAUCUGGCGAUAUCACAUUGAAGUAUUUUUCGUAAAACGUGAUAACGUUUAAAAAGCCCAAUGUUUAUUUAGCCUCGUUGUGUGAUCUAAAAAAUAAUUUUAAAACUUGCAUCACUGUCAAAAAGUAUUUACUUUAAAACAUUAUUAAUUCUAAAAUCUCGUUUAUCGUGAAAGCUUUUGAAAUGAUUUUGCGUAUUCGUGGUAUUUUGGUAAAUCAUGCAUAUCUUUUAAAAACCCGCAUCCUACCACUAGCAGGUAUAAAUCAUAAUAAAAUAAUAAAAUCCCAAAUUAAAGAAUAAAACUUAAAGAGGCCUUUUACAUAAAAAUACCCAAAUAAAACUACUUUUAAGUUAAAAGAUAAAUUCGGAAGCGUAAGCUAUUGUGUGUCCACCUCCGAGUCCUUCGCAGCACCGAUCUGCCUAAGGACUACCUAUACAAUUAAUACAAUUGGGUGAGUUUACGAAAACUCAGUGUGUAAUCCCAUAAUAACACGAAGAUAGACAUGCAGAGAGCGAAUACAUUCUGAGCCUAAGCCCAUGACAAUAACAGUGGAAAUUUGGGCCUUAACCCAUUUCAGUAUUAGUAAUCAAUCUGGGUUUUAGCCCAUUUCAGUAAUAGUAAUCAGUGCAGUAACCAUGAUCAAUGCAGUAACAGUAAUCAGUGUAGUAUGCAAACAGAAAAUCCUACCCAAUCCAGCCUCUACACACCAUCUCCAUACCAACCUUACACACCAUGUGGGGAUAAAAUCGACCCACCCAGCCUUACACACCAAGUAGCACCGGUUACGACACUAAAAUAGAAUUGCAGUAAAGAUGCCAGUAUAAUAGGCUUAAAGCCAUCAGUAGGUCUACAGUCGUCUUGCGCGACUCGUGCGACCAUAUCAGUACAGUACACUUCCUCUAAAAUCAUAUAUCCCACCCCAUGCAAUACAACAUAAUAUUAUACAUGGAUGCAACAUACAUAUAACAUGGCAUACUCAAAUACAGUCAUACACAUCGUAGAACAAAUCUAUCAUUUUUCCUUACCGGGGUAUUAAAGUUAUUUUACCCUACAAGGGUAUUUCGGUCAUUCUACCCUAUGGGCGUAUUUCGGUCAUUUUACCCUAUGAGGGUAUUUCGAUCAUUUUACCCUAUGAGGGUAUUUCAGUCAUUUUAUCAUAUAAGGGUUCAGGUGCACUUACCGACCCAACAGAAGGUCACAAUCGUCUCAGGCGACCUGUGCAACCUUAACAAUCAAAUAGUGAAAAUGGCCCAAUGCCCAUAAUGCGGGCCUAUGUGCCCACGAAGCCCAAAAAUGACGUUGACUGUACCAACUACACAAUCUGGCCCAAAACUCUCCACGCGUCCAUGUGAUUUACCCGUGUGGGCCCACGAGCUCGUGGGGCCCACACGGCCCAUUUCAGCCCAGCAUGGCUCAAAACGACCUAAGCUCAUGAAAUUGCUCACGGCGGCCUCUACGUCCUAACGUCCAUGAUUUACGCAUUCGGGAUACCACACGCACGCUCGUGUAGAGUCAACAAUCCGUUAUUUCGGCUUUUGCCAUUUUACGAUUAGAGGUAGUGUGAUUACACACCUGAUUACGGAAUGCGCGAAAAAGACCACGAGUACUUCACCCUGAUUAAAUUAAUCGCUUAUGACUUGCUUAUUGAAGCCGUUUGCAAGAGGUUGAUAAAUAGGCCAUAGGGUUCUCUACAAUCCAACCAACGAUUAACAAUCAUCAAUCAAAUAACAAUUGAACAAGACGAAUAGUCGCUUAGCAAAAACGCAGAGUCCAGAUUUAAGAGGGAAAAAUAAUCAGCUCUUACCUACACAAGUUGAGAGUACAGACAGAUUGAUAGAGGCACACCCAUCAGAGAACACUUGCAAAAGCCGAAAACAGAGUGGGGAGAGGUAUAUGCAGUAACCGUUAAAGUAUUAAGAUAGAAGAAUGACCAUAGGAGAGGAGAAGAAUGAGGUAUUCGGCAAGUGAACAAAAGGGAAGAAAAGAGUUGGUUAGCAAUAGUCAAGGGGUCUAAGAGAUAGAGAUGGGAGUAUUCAGCCAAAAGCAUCAAUGUAAGAAAUGAUGAUUGAAGAAAGCCGAAUGAAGGGGAAAUAGAAUGGCAUUCGGUUAAGGGCAAGAAAAAGAAAACGAGAGGAAAUGAUUUGCUACCAGAGUAAGGAAGAAGAGAAGUCGAUCAAAACUAGGCUCUGUAAAGAAGAGCAACCCGAAACAUACCCAAAAUGCAAAAUACCUAAGUGGUCAACAAUGUUCUGUCUCAAAAACAAAAGAGAAAAAGAGAAACAACAAAGUUUCUAGCACAAAAUCGACACCCUCAAAAUAAAGUCCCAAAACACAAAAAAGAAACAAAAUUUUCCAAAACCGACAAUUUUUUAUUUUGAGAGAAAAGCUAACUUAGCUGAAAUUUUGUGUACCUCCUAACCAAUUUCGGCACAACACAACUUCUCUUCAAAUCCCACUUUUUAUUCCCUUUAAUUCUCUCCUGAUAUCUCUCCUCAACUCUCUCCUACAAUCCCUCCAUGAUCAAUUCAAACUCCACUCCACUUUACAGUGUUUCAGUCAAACCCUACUACCUCUUAUAACCAACAGUAAAAAUAAUCUCUAUUUGCACAAGCAGGGAUUCGAACCUCAGACACCUUGCACACUCCACACGCCACUUACCACUGAGCUAGCAUGCUUGCUUUUUGUCAUACUUUACCAAAAUAAACUUAUAACCCUACUGGCCAAAGAUAGGGGUUUUAUCCUCAAAAACCAAAAUUUUGUGGAAGCUAGGGCUUGAACCCAUGACUUCCCAGACACUUCCAGAGUAUACAACCAUUAAGCCAAACACACAAUUGUGUCACUUCCUUGUACAAUUAAAUAUUUAUGAGCAGGUUCCCAACUGCUCCCUCGCUCAAGACCUAAUACUUCUAGGCCCAAAUUUGGGGCGUUACAACCAAACCUCGCUUAGACGUUAUGGUCGAACCUAGCGAUGUCACAUUGAAGUGUUUUUUGUAAAACAUGAUAACUUUUGAAAAGCCCAAUGUUUAUUUACCCUCUUUAUGUGAUCUAGAAAAUAAUUUUAAAACUUGUGUCACUAUUGAAAAGUAAUUACUUUAAAACGCUAUUAAUUCUAAAAUCCUGUUUGUCACGGAAGCUUCUGAAACAGUUUUGCGCAUUCAUGGUAUUUUGGUAAAUCAUGCAUAUCUUUUGAAAACCUGCAUCCUACCACUAGCAGGUAUAAAUCAUGAUAAAAUAAUAAAAGCCCAAAUUAAAGAAUAAAUCUUAAAGAGGCCUUUUACAUAAAAAUACCCAAAUAAAACUACUUAGAAGUUAAAAGAUAAAUUCGGAAGCGUAAGCUGUUGUGUGUCCACCUCCGAGUCCCUCGCAGGACAGAUCCGCCUAAGGAUUACUGUACAGUUAAAAUAGUUGGGUGAGUUUACGAAAACUCAGUGUGUAAUCCCAAUGAUAAAAAAACAGUAAAUAACACAGUCUGGGCCUAAGCCAAUAUCAGUAAUAGUUCAAUAUCAGUUAGGGCCUUGGCCCAUUAUGUAACAGUAGCAGUGGCAGAAAUCAGUGCAGUAACCAUGAUCAAUGCAGUAGCAGUAAUCAGUACAGAAUACAAAUAAAAAAUCCUACCCAUCCAUCCUCUACACUCCACUCCGUCCAGCCCUACACUCCAUGUAAGGAUAAAAUCAACCCACCCAUCCCUACACUCCAAAUAUAGCAUCGAUUGCAGCACUAAUCAGUAAUUGCAGCAGUGCUGCUAGUAAUAGGCCUAAAGCCAUCAGUAGGUCCACUGUCGUCUUGGGUGACCCGUGUGACCAUAUCAAUACAGUACACUUCCUCUAAAAUCAUAUAUCUCACCCCAUGCAAUGCAACAUAAUAUCAUACAUGGAUGCAAAAUACAUAUAACAUGGCAUGCUCAAAUACAGUCAUACACAUCGUAGAACAAAUCUGUCAUUUUACAUUACCGGGGUAUAAAAGUCAUUUUACCCUACAGGGGUAUUUCGAUCAUUCUACCUUAUGGGGGUAUUUCGAUCAUUCUACUUUAUGGGGGUAUUUCAAACAUUUUACCCUAUGAGGGUAUUUCGGUUAUUUUACCCUAUGAGGGUAUUUCGAUCAUUUGAUCACAUAAGGGUAAAAUCGUCAUUUUAUCAAAUAAGGGAAAAAUCGUCAUUUUAUCACAAAAGGGAAAAAUCGUCAUUUUCUCACAUAAGGGCAAAAUCAUCAUUUUAUCACGGAAGGGCAAAAUCGCCAUUUUAUCACAUAAGAGAAAAAUCGUCAAUUUAUCACAUAAGGGCAAAAUCGUCAUUUUAUUACAUAAGGGAAAAAUCAUCAUUUUAUCAUAUAAGGAUAAAAUCAUAAUUUUAUCACAUAAAGGCAAAAUCGUCAUUUUAUCACAUAAGGGCAAAAUCGUCAUUUUAUCACAUAAGGGCAAAAUUGUCAUUUUUCACAUAAGGGAAAAAUCAUCAUUUUAUCACAUAAGGGUAAAAUUGUCAUUUUAUCACAUGAGGGUUCAAGUACGCUUACCGACCCAAUAGAAGGUCACACUCGUCUCAGGAGACCCGUGUAACCUUAACAAUCAAACAGUGAAAAUGGGCCUAAAGCCCACAAUGCGAGCCCAUGUGGGCCCACAUGCCCAUGUGGCCUACGAAGCCCAAAAAUGGCCUUGACUGUGCGAACUACACACUCUGGCCCAAAAAUCUCCACGUGUUCGUAUGAUUUACCCGUGUGGGCCCACGAGCUCGUGGGGCUCACAUAGCCUAUUUCUGCCUAACAUGGCCCAAAACAGCUUAAGUCCAUGGUAUCACCCAUGGUGGCCUCUCAAAAUUUAGUACCCACAUUUAUGCGUUUGGGGUUACCACACGAGCGAUUGUACGCCCAUGUGGCAUCAACGAUCCUAUUUUUUGGCUUUUGCCGAUUUACAGUAAUGGUAGUAUUUUACACACCUAUUUAGAAAAACACGUACGUAGCCCCUUGAGCAUUCCAAACCUUGAUCCAAACCAUAACCAUUCCAUUAGUCUCAAGGUAAAUAAAUUAAUACUACUCAUUUCCAUAAUACUAAUCCAAAAAAUCAAUUGUCACAUACAUUGUUUCGAACCCCCAAGCCUCUACAUACCUAAACCGUUGAUCAAGAAUGAUCUUUGCCCCUUCUUCGGUUAUUAUUUGCAUACCAACCAAAUCUAUUAACCUUGAUCAUAUUGUUCGCACAACCAUUUGAACCAAGCGUAAACCACUUACCGAAUCGUAAAAUCGUCUCUAGAGAAGGGAAGUAGUCAUUCUAUUUCCACAAUGAUCACCCCAAGCGACAGAGGCAGAGGUUUAGCACAAACCACCCUUAGCAAGCAUCAGUAGCAAAGAAUACAUUAGAUGGGGACAAUCAACACGCCAGAAAAAUAAAAAGGAAAGAAUAACGAUGUGUACUUAAAACAAGAGCCAGACUUACCCAUGUAAAAUCAGUGAAAAGAAUGACCACAAAAACGGCGAAUAGCAACGAAGGAAAAGUCGACACAGUGAGGGUAAGAAAGGCAGGAGUGUUUGGCCAUGUAUUAUGAUUGAGAGAGAGAAGAUAAGAAGAGAAUUAGUCAAGCACUAGGAGUUAAAAGCCGAAGAAUAUGAGAGAGGGAAGUAGAGGGAACAUUUGGCCGAGGAGAACAACAAACAACAGAAAAGUGUCUGACCGGAGGGUAAGGGAAAGAGCAAAAGUACCAGAAGAAAAGAGAGAGGAGUAGAGAAUAAGAAAAGACACAAAAAGAAAUGCCCAAAACUGUAAGAUAGAGAGGGAGGGAAAAGUAAUGUGCGACCAUCCAAAACCCAGAGUGAAAGGAACCCCCAAACAAUUGAUAGGAACCAAAAAAUGAGGAGAGAGAGUACCAAAGCUGAAUUCUUCUUGUGCCAACAUUCAAACUUGGCACCAACUCCCUUCUACUUCAAAUCCCCUUAAUUUCUUCCUAAAAUCCCUCCUCAUAUCUCUCAUCAACUCCAUCCUACAAUCCCUCCAUGACCAAUUUAAACUCUACCCCACUCUGUUGUGUUUCAGUCAAACACUAUUACCUCCCAUAGCCAACAGUAAAAAUAAUCUCUAUUUGCACAAGCAAGGAUUCGAACCUCAGACCACUAGCACACUCGACAUGCUUCUAUCCACUAGACCAGCAGGCUCUUUAUGUCAUACUUUACUGAAAUAUACUUAUAACCCUACUGGCCAAAGAUAGGGGUUUUAUCCUCAAAAACCAAAAUCUUGUGGAAGCCAGGGCUUGAACCCAUGACUUCCCAGACACUUACAGAGCACACAACCACUAAGCCAAACACACAAUUUUGUCACUUCCUUGCACAAUUAAAUAUUUAUGAACAGCUUCCCAACUACUCCCUCGCUCAAUACCUAAUACUUCUAGGCCCAAAUUUGGGGCGUUACAAUUCACCCCUCCUUAAAGAAAUUUCGUCACCGAAAUUUCCAACUAUCAGAACGGUCGAUUAACACAUACUACACCAUCACGCUCCCGCUGCGUACUCUAGUUCCAAAACAUUACGACACUUAACUUGAAUGUUUCCAGUAUAGUCUAUAAAUAUACUAGGGUAGUGCGUCAAUCAAAUACUCAGCCGUGCGACCAUGAGACCCAGCUCGAGCACUUCCAUAGCUCCACCACAGCUUUUUGUACCCCUUUUGCAAGUACUUUCGAUGUUCAUAAUCGAAUUGCGUCUUAUAUUUAUUAACAGUUUUAUGCAGAUCAGUUUACAGUUCCAGUUGUUUAUUAAAAGGUAUCUUAUGGAAUAACAGUAUCAGUAUUUAAGAGUUUGUUUUCGCGGUACACAGUGUCUAUCGAUGUCCACCAGUCUCACUACAGCUUCAGUAUACACUACUAAAAAGUUUGCAGUACGGUAUACUACUUAUGGUAGUCUUAGUAAUCCUACCUAUGGCAGUUCCAAUCAAAAUCAAAAUACAGUUUUCAGAGAGAACUUACAGGAUCAGUGCGGAGACUCGAUGUACCACACAUUCAAUAAAACAUUUUAAAAUACUUCAAAUCAUUCGAAAUAGUUCUCUUUGAAUUCUCAAUUUUAAAAUGAAACCCAAAUCCAUAGUCGAGUUUUGUAACUUGGCUCUGAUACCACUAAAUGUAACACCCCAAACCUAGCCUGGACGUUAUGGCUGAAUCUGGUGAUGUCACAUUGAAGUGUUUUUCGUAAAACGUUAUAACGUUUGAAAAACCCAAUGUUUAUUUAGCCCAUUUGUGUGAUCUAGAAAAUAGUUUUAAAACUUGUGUCACUAUCUAAAAGUAUUUACUUUAAAACGUUAUUAAUUCCAAAAUCUUAUUUAUUGUGGAAGCUUCUAAAAUGAUUUUACGUAUUCGUGGUCUUUUGGUAAAUCAUGCAUAUCUUUUGAAAACCCACAUCCUACCACUAGCAAGUAUAAAUCAUAAUAAAAUAAUAAAAGCAUGAUAAAAUAAUAAAAUCCCAAAUUAAAGAAUAAAACUUAAAAAGGCCUUUUACAUAAAAAUACCCAAAUAAAACUACUUAUAAGUUAAAAGAUAAAUUCAGAAGCGUAAGCUGUUGUGUGUCCACCUCCGAGUCCCUUGUAGCACCGAUCCGCCUAAGGAUUACCUUUACAGUUAAAAUAGUUGGGUGAGUUUACGAAAACUCAGUGUGUAAUCCCAAUGAUAAACAAACAGUGAACAACACAGUCUGGGCCUAAGCCCAUAUCAGUAACAGUUCAAUAUCAGUUAGGGCCUUGGCCCAUUCUGUAACAAUAGCAGUGGCAGAAAUUAGUGCAGUAACUAUGAUAAAUGCAGUAGCAGUAAUCAGUAUAGAAUGGAAACAGAAAAUCCUACCCAUCCAUCCUCUACACUCCACUCCGUCCAGCCCUACACUCCAUGUGGGGAUAAAAUCAACCCACCCAUCCCUACACUCCAAAUAUAGCAUUGGUUGCGGCACUAAUCAGUAAUUGCAGUAGUGCUGCCAGUAAUAGGCUUAAAACCAUCAGUAGGUCCACUGUCGUCUUGGGUGACCCGUGUGACCAUAUUAGUACAGUACACUUCUUCUAAAAUCAUAUAUCUCACCCCAUGCAAUGCAACAUAAUAUCAUACAUGGAUGCAAAAUACAUAUAACAUGGCAUGCUCAAAUACAAUCACACAUAUCGUAGAACAAAUCUAUCAUUUUACCUUACCGGGGUAUUAAAGUCAUUUUAAGGGGUAGGGGUAUUUCGGUCAUUCUACCCUAUGGGAGUAUUUCAGUCAUUCUACCCUAUGGGGGUAUUUCAGACAUUUUAUCCUAUGAGGGUAUCUCGAUGAUUUUACCCUAUGAGGGUAUUUUGAUCAUUUGAUAACAUAAGGGCAAAAUCAUCAUUUUAUCACAGCAAAAUUGUCAUUUUAUCACAUAAAGGCAAAAUCGUCAUUUUAUCACGUAAGGGUAAAAUUGUCAUUUUAUCAAAUAAGGGUAAAAUCAUCAUUUUAUCACAUAAGGGUUCAAGUACGCUUACCAACCCAACAGAAGGUCACAGUCGUCUCGGGCGACCCGUGCAACCUUAAUAAUCAAACAGUAAAAAUGGGUCCAAAGCCUAUGAUGCGGGCCCAUGUGGGUCCACACUCCUGUGUGGCCCAUGAAGCCCAAAAAUGGCCUUGAUUGUGUGAACUACACAAUCUGGCCCAAAAAAUCUCUACGCGUCCGUGUGAUUUACCCAUGUCGACCCACGAGCCCGCGACCCACCAUGGCCCAAAACGGCUUAAGUCUAUAGUAUCGCCUAUGGUGGCCUCUUGAAAUUCAGUACCCACAUUUAUGCGUUUGGGGUUACCACACGAGCGAUUGUACGCCCAUGUGGCAUCAACGAUCCUAUUUUUUGGCUUUUGCCGAUUUACAGUAAUGGUAGUAUUUUACACACCUAUUUACAAAAACACGUACGUAGCCCCUUGAGCAUUCCAAACCUUGAUCCAAACCAUAACCAUUCCAUUAGUCUCAAGGUAAAUAAAUUAAUACUACUCAUUUCCAUAAUACUAAUCCAAAAAAUCAAUUGUCACAUACAUUGUUUCGAACCCCCAAGCCUCUACAUACCUAAACCGUUGAUCAAGAAUGAUCUUUGCCCCUUCUUCGGUUAUUAUUUGCAUACCAACCAAAUCUAUUAACCUUGAUCAUAUUGUUCGCACAACCAUUUGAACCAAGCGUAAACCACUUACCGAAUCGUAAAAUCGUCUCUAGAGAAUGAAGUAGUCGUUCUAUUUCUACAAUGAUCACCCCAAGCGACAGAGACAAAGGCUUAGCACAAACCACCGCUAGCAAGCAUCAGUAGCAAAGAAUACAUUAGAUGGGGACUAUCAACACGACAAAAAAACAAAAAGGAAAGAAUAAUGAUGUGCACUUAAAACAAGAGCCAAACUUACCCAUGCAAAAACGGUGAAAAGAAUGACCAAAGAAACGGCGGAUAGCAACGAAGGAAAAUUUGACAGAGUGAGGAUAAGAGAGGUAGGAGUAUUCGACCAUGUAUUAUGGUUGAGAGAGAGAGGAGAUAAGAAGAGAAUCGGUCAAUAACUAGGAGUUAAAAGCCUAAGAAUAUGAAAUAGGGGAGUAGAUGAAACAUUCGGCCGAGGAGAAUAAUAAACAGCAGAAAAGUACCUGACCGAAGAGUAGGGUAAAGAGCAAAAGUGCCAGAAGAAAAGAGAGAGGAGCAGAAAAUAAGCAAAGACACAAAAGGAAAUACCCAAAAUCGUAAGAUAGAGAGGGAGAAAGAAGCAAUGUUCGGCCAUCCAAAACCCAGAGUGAAAGGAACUCCCAAACAAUUGAUAGGAACCAAAAAAUGAGGAGAAUGAGUACCAAAGCAGAAUUCUUCUUGUGCCAACAUUCAAACUCGGCACCAACUCCCUUCCACUUAAAAUCCCCUUGAUUUCCUCCUAAAAUCCCUCCUCAUAUCUCUCCUCAACUCCCUCCUACAAUCCCUCAAUGACCAAUUUAAACUCUACUCCACUCUACAGUGUUUCAGUCAAACACUACUACCUCCCAUAGCCAACAGUAAAAAUAAUCUCCAUUUGCACAAGCAAGGAUUUAAACCUCAAGCCACUAGCACACUCCACACGCCAGUAUCCACUAGACUAGCAGGCUCUUUAUGUAAUAUUUUACCAAAAUAAACUUAUAACCCUACUGGCCAAAGAUAGGGGUUUUAUCAUCAAAAACCAAAAUUUUGUGGAAGCCAAGGCUUGAACCAAUGAAUUCCCAGACACUUCCAGAGCAUACAACCACUAAGCCAAACACACAAUUGUGUCACUUCUUUGCAUAAUUAAACAUUUAUGAGCAGCUUUCCAACUGCUCCCUCGAUCAAGUCCUAAUACUUUUAGGCCCAAAUUUGUGGCGUUACAAUUUUAAAUUAAGACAAAUCAUAAACCUAGCAUAGGAUACUUUCAUAAAAUCUUGAGAGGUUCAAUGUUAUUAAUUAAAUCUUUUAAAUAAUAAUAAUAAAAGAUCGAAUAAGUUGUAGAUUGAUUUUAAUAUUUCUCUUAAUUCAUUGGUAAUUUUUGGGGGUAUUUUUUUAGAAUUCUAAAAUUGAAUUAAUUUUAGGAAUUGAAGGUAUUUUACUAGAAUUAUUUAGGUAUCCUUUAAGGUUCCCGUUAAAAGUAAAAACCUCUAAUUUAAGUUUUAAAUUAGAUAAGUUUGGUGAACACAUCUUAAUCAAGUUACAAGUAAACCGGAGGCAUUUUCUUUAGAGUUUUUAUUUA
This 36561-nucleotide long non-coding RNA is filed under the name Gossypium barbadense (sea-island cotton). RNAcentral's name for it is "long non-coding RNA (GBAR_LNC012591)". The record is from RNAcentral. Lineage: Eukaryota; Viridiplantae; Streptophyta; Magnoliopsida; Malvales; Malvaceae.